Molecule: ribosomal RNA, 492 nt
Filed under: uncultured bacterium
Lineage: Bacteria
Description: partial 16S ribosomal RNA
Rfam family: Bacterial small subunit ribosomal RNA
Source: RNAcentral
AGUGAACGCUGGCGGUAGGCCUAACACAUGCAAGUCGAACGGCAGCACAGUAAGAGCUUGCUCUUACGGGUGGCGAGUGGCGGACGGGUGAGGAAUACAUCGGAAUCUACUUUUUCGUGGGGGAUAACGUAGGGAAACUUACGCUAAUACCGCAUACGACCUACGGGUGAAAGCAGGGGAUCUUCGGACCUUGCGCGAUUGAAUGAGCCGAUGUCGGAUUAGCUAGUUGGCGGGGUAAAGGCCCACCAAGGCGACGAUCCGUAGCUGGUCUGAGAGGAUGAUUAGCCACACUGGAACUGAGACACGGUCCAGACUCCUACGGGAGGCAGCAGUGGGGAAUAUUGGACAAUGGGCGCAAGCCUGAUCCAGCCAUACCGCGUGGGUGAAGAAGGCCUUCGGGUUGUAAAGCCCUUUUGUUGGAAAAGAAAAGCAGCAGGUUAAUACCCCGCUGUUCUGACGGUACCCAAAGAAUAAGCACCGGCUAACUUCGUG